This 427-nucleotide long non-coding RNA is filed under the name Sorghum bicolor (sorghum). Its description in RNAcentral is "long non-coding RNA (SBIC_LNC000823)". The record is from RNAcentral. Lineage: Eukaryota; Viridiplantae; Streptophyta; Magnoliopsida; Poales; Poaceae.
GGAACAUUGGGUAAGACCGACAACCACAUCCAGCUUGGGGGAGUUCCUCCCCGUUUUAUCAAGUAAGUUUUUAUUUGCACUUCUUAUUUAUUCUUUUCUAUUUUAGUGUUUUGUUUAUCUUAAAGAGAAAAAACUUAAGAAAACCCAAUAAAUAUUUUAUUGCUUUAAAUUACUGCAUUUUAUAAACAUGAAAACAAAAUAAAAAGAGUGUGCAGAUAAGUGUGCUUUAUUUUUCCUGCUACAAUUAAUCUCUAAAAAGAAAAAAUAAAAGACCAAAAAGAUACAUGAUGGAGAUGAUGAACAGUUGCUUUGUUUGCUUACUUUCAAGUACCUAGAUUUUAUAUUAGAGUUCUUCCAGGAAUUACUAAAAACUGAAAUUUACUAUCUAUCGGAAACAUAAAAGUAAAGUCUAGGUAAGAAAAAGGCA